RNAcentral lists this ribosomal RNA (555 nucleotides) under uncultured Nostocales cyanobacterium. RNAcentral describes it as "bacterial SSU rRNA". It matches the Rfam family "Bacterial small subunit ribosomal RNA", at positions 253 to 825 of the family's 1533-position model. The record is from RNAcentral. Lineage: Bacteria; Bacillati; Cyanobacteriota; Cyanophyceae; Nostocales.
UGGGGUAAAAGCGUACCAAGGCGACGAUCAGUAGCUGGUCUGAGAGGAUGAUCAGCCACACUGGGACUGAGACACGGCCCAGACUCCUACGGGAGGCAGCAGUGGGGAAUUUUCCGCAAUGGGCGAAAGCCUGACGGAGCAACGCCGCGUGAGGGAGGAAGGCUUUUGGGUUGUAAACCUCUUUUAUCAAGGAAGAUAAUGACGGUACUUGAUGAAUCAGCAUCGGCUAACUCCGUGCCAGCAGCCGCGGUAAUACGGAGGAUGCAAGCGUUAUCCGGAAUAAUUGGGCGUAAAGCGUUCGUAGGUGGUUUUGCAAGUCUGCUGUUAAAGCGUGUAGCUUAACUACAUAAUGGCGGUGGAAACUGCAAAACUAGAGUGCGUUCGGGGCAGAGGGAAUUCCUGGUGUAGCGGUGAAAUGCGUAGAUAUCAGGAAGAACACCGGUGGCGAAGGCGCUCUGCUAGGCCGCAACUGACACUGAGGGACGAAAGCUAGGGGAGCGAAUGGGAUUAGAUACCCCAGUAGUCCUAGCUGUAAACGAUGGAUACUAGGCGUGG